Molecule: transfer RNA, 75 nt
Filed under: candidate division WS1 bacterium
Lineage: Bacteria; Bacillati
Description: tRNA-Asn
Rfam family: tRNA
About the family: Transfer RNA (tRNA) molecules are approximately 80 nucleotides in length. Their secondary structure includes four short double-helical elements and three loops (D, anti-codon, and T loops).
Source: RNAcentral
UCCCCGGUAGCUCAAUGGUAGAGCAACCGGCUGUUAACCGGUUGGCUGGUGGUUCGAAUCCGCCCCGGGGAGCCA